AUGAGAGGGACAGAUGAAACAGUUUAAAGACAAUGGCAGGAAAAACAUGCUGAAGAUUGAAACAAACCUUGGCUGGAAAUAUUUGAAGGUAUCUAGCCAGUCCACAAUGAAAGCUUCGUUGCACCCCAUGAGUCUUCUGGCAGAAAUGAUGGCGCCUGUAUUCUUUGGUUUCCCUAAACAUCACACCCUGCCUGUUUAUACGAGGCUCUUCAAUUAAGUCUGCACCCAAAGAUUCAAUAAGAGAGGGGAUCCUGCCAGUCCAAAGUGAACUCCUGAUGGACAUUGAAGUAUUCCUGUAGAGCUUGUAUCUUCGACACCAUGCGCAUUAGAAACUCCACUGAGUCCUUUCCUUCACCAAGGCAGGACCCAGUGACUCAUUACUGUUGAUAGGUCAGGGGCAGGUAAUAUUUUGUUUCAUGUUUAUUCAUUCCUCCAUGGAUUACCAGCCAUAUAUAUGGACACAUGCUGUAUUCUCAAGAUCUAUGCUGUUUUGUAGGAAUAGAGAAAAUGAUAUGUUUAGUCUGUUUUCAAAUGGUAUGUCAAAUUUUCUCAUUGUUUAUCAGUAAUAUUCACUACCUUGGUUAUAUAUGAGCAUCUUUAGGUUUUUCUAUAUUUAGCGGUUGCAAAUGUAAAAUGUACGGUAAACCAUUUAUGUUCCUCAUAUUGUACUGUAUUUU
Long non-coding RNA from Pelmatolapia mariae (spotted tilapia), 677 nucleotides. RefSeq lists it as uncharacterized. NCBI's taxonomy places the organism in Eukaryota, Metazoa, Chordata, Actinopteri, Cichliformes, Cichlidae. The transcript is spliced from 3 exons. The record is from RefSeq and is a predicted model, not a curated record.